This 657-nucleotide long non-coding RNA is filed under the name Homo sapiens (human). RNAcentral's name for it is "HSALNT0355541". Lineage: Eukaryota; Metazoa; Chordata; Mammalia; Primates; Hominidae. The record is from RNAcentral.
GAGAAAUCAUAGAUUUUUAUAAAAUGAAAGCUGCCUCUGAAGCACUGCAGACUCAGCUGAGCACCGAUACAAAGAAAGACAAACAUCUAACAAUUUGGACAAGACAGCAAAUGCUAUUGUCCAAGUUUUCUAAAGAAGAAUCUGAAGUGAAAUGACAUCAAGAGACCUAUCAAGACCUGUAUCCAGGAAAAGGUUUAUAUGUGGAAGAGACUUGCCCUGUCUCAGAACUUCUUCCUUCGAACGCUAUAUCCCUAAUUCAAUAACAAGUAAACUGAAGCUCAGCAUGGUCUAGGAACUUUGUUACAUUAACACAGCAAGUGAGUGUUGCAGCCUGGAUCCAAAAAUCAGGCCUGGUCGACCUCAAAGUCCAGAUUAUUGACCUUUCUACCAUAAUGUAUGGAGGAAUUAGAGAAAGAACAAAUCAGUGUGAAGGAGAAUUGUCAGUAAAAUUACAAGAAAAGAUUGAGAUCAUAAUUGACCUUUGAGGAUAAUAAAAUUUAAAGACCAAAAGGAUGGACUUCACAGAAACAUGACCUUAGGUUGUUUUUGCAGUUGUAGUAACUGGUUAUAUGACCAACAAAAUAUGAAGAAUGGGUACAAAUUCUGAUAGUAAUGAUCAGUCACUUUGCAAAUAUAAAGUUACUAUUUACUACUGUA